Molecule: ribosomal RNA, 253 nt
Filed under: uncultured bacterium
Lineage: Bacteria
Description: partial 16S ribosomal RNA
Rfam family: Bacterial small subunit ribosomal RNA
Source: RNAcentral
UACGUAGGGUGCAAGCGUUGUCCGGAAUUAUUGGGCGUAAAGAGCUCGUAGGCGGUCUGUUGCGUCGGCUGUGAAAACCCGGGGCUCAACUCCGGGCCUGCAGCCGAUACGGGCAGACUAGAGUUCGGCAGGGGAGACUGGAAUUCCCGGUGUAGAGGUGAAAUUCGUAGAUAUCGGGAGGAACACCGGUGGCGAAGGCGGCGAUCUGGGUAGAUACUGACGCUGAGGUGCGAAAGCGUGGGGAGCAAACAGG